RNAcentral lists this transfer RNA (77 nucleotides) under Escherichia coli. RNAcentral describes it as "tRNA-Met". It matches the Rfam family "tRNA". Rfam says of the family: Transfer RNA (tRNA) molecules are approximately 80 nucleotides in length. Their secondary structure includes four short double-helical elements and three loops (D, anti-codon, and T loops). Further hydrogen bonds mediate the characteristic L-shaped molecular structure. tRNAs have two regions of fundamental functional importance: the anti-codon, which is responsible for specific mRNA codon recognition, and the 3' end, to which the tRNAs corresponding amino acid is attached (by aminoacyl-tRNA synthetases). tRNAs cope with the degeneracy of the genetic code in two manners: having more than one tRNA (with a specific anti-codon) for a particular amino acid; and 'wobble' base-pairing, i.e. permitting non-standard base-pairing at the 3rd anti-codon position. RNAcentral also lists the same sequence under 1 other name. Lineage: Bacteria; Pseudomonadati; Pseudomonadota; Gammaproteobacteria; Enterobacterales; Enterobacteriaceae. The record is from RNAcentral.
GGCUACGUAGCUCAGUUGGUUAGAGCACAUCACUCAUAAUGAUAGGGUCACAGGUUCGAAUCCCGUCGUAGCCACCA